CCUACGGGUGGCAGCAGUGAGGAAUAUUGGUCAAUGGGCGUUAGCCUGAACCAGCCAAGUCGCGUGAAGGAUGAAUGUCCUAUGGGUCGUAAACCUCUUUUAUAUGGGAAUAAAGUGCGGGACGUAUCCCGCUUUGUAUGUACCUUAUGAAUAAGGAUCGGCUAACUCCGUGCCAGCAGCCGCGGUAAUACGGAGGAUCCGAGCGUUAUCCGGAUUUAUUGGGUUUAAAGGGUGCGUAGGCGGGCUUUUAAGUCAGCUGUGAAAGUUUGUGGCUCAACCGUAGAAUUGCCGUUGAAACUGGGAGGCUUGAGUAUGUUUGAGGCAGGCGGAAUGCGUGGUGUAGCGGUGAAAUGCUUAGAUAUCACGCAGAACCCCGAUUGCGAAGGCAGCCUGCCAAGCCAUGACUGACGCUGAUGCACGAAAGCGUGGGGAUCAAACAGGAUUAGAUACCCGGGUAGUC
This 460-nucleotide ribosomal RNA is filed under the name uncultured bacterium. Its description in RNAcentral is "partial 16S ribosomal RNA". It matches the Rfam family "Bacterial small subunit ribosomal RNA", at positions 338 to 795 of the family's 1533-position model. The record is from RNAcentral.